GCGGAAGGAUCAUUACCUAGAGUUGUAGGCUUUGCCUGCUAUCUCUUACCCAUGUCUUUUGAGUACCUUCGUUUCCUCGGCGGGUUCGCCCGCCGAUUGGACAAUUUAAACCAUUUGCAGUUGCAAUCAGCGUCUGAAAUAAUUUAAUAAAUUACAACUUUCAACAACGGAUCUCUUGGUUCUGGCAUCGAUGAAGAACGCAGCGAAAUGCGAUAAGUAGUGUGAAUUGCAGAAUUCAGUGAAUCAUCGAAUCUUUGAACGCACAUUGCGCCCCUUGGUAUUCCAUGGGGCAUGCCUGUUCGAGCGUCAUUUGUACCUUCAAGCUCUGCUUGGUGUUGGGUGUUUGUCUCGCCUCUGCGCGUAGACUCGCCUCAAAACAAUUGGCAGCCGGCGUAUUGAUUUCGGAGCGCAGUACAUCUUGCGCUUUGCACUCAUAACGACGACGUCCAAAAGUACAUUUUUACACUCUUGACCUCGGAUCAGGUAGGGAUACCCGCUGAACUUAAGCAUAUCAAUAAGCGGAGGAAAAGAAACCAACAGGGAUUGCCCUAGUAACGGCGAGUGAAGCGGCAACAGCUCAAAUUUGAAAUCUGGCGUCUUUGGCGUCCGAGUUGUAAUUUGCAGAGGGCGCUUUGGCAUUGGCAGCGGUCCAAGUUCCUUGGAACAGGACGUCACAGAGGGUGAGAAUCCCGUACGUGGUCGCUAGCCUUUACCGUGUAAAGCCCCUUCGACGAGUC
RNAcentral lists this ribosomal RNA (737 nucleotides) under fungal endophyte. RNAcentral's name for it is "eukaryotic LSU rRNA". The stretch from base 470 to 737 matches the Rfam family "Eukaryotic large subunit ribosomal RNA", at positions 1 to 266 of the family's 3401-position model. Lineage: Eukaryota; Fungi. The record is from RNAcentral.